CCUACGGGAGGCAGCAGUGAGGAAUAUUGGUCAAUGGACGCAAGUCUGAACCAGCCAUGCCGCGUGCAGGAAGACGGCUCUAUGAGUUGUACACUGCUUUUGUACGAGGGCAAACGCAGAUACGCGUAUCUGUCUGAAAGUAUCGUACGAAUAAGGAUCGGCAAACCUCGUUCCAGCCGCCGCGGUAAUACGGGGGAUUCAAGGGUUAUCCGGAUUUAUGGGGAUAAAGGGGUGGUAUGCGGUAGGGUAAGUUUAGGGUGAAAUUCCGAGGCUCAACUUCGGAAUUGCCUCUGAUACUGUUCGGCUAGAGAGUAGUUGCGGUAGGCGGAAUGUAUGGUGUAGCAGUGAAAUGCUUAGAGAUCAUACAGAACACCGAUUGCGAAGGCAGCUUACCAAGCUACUUCUGACGUUGAGGCACGAAAGCGUGGGGAGCAAACAGGAUUAGAUACCCGAGUAGUC
RNAcentral lists this ribosomal RNA (459 nucleotides) under uncultured bacterium. RNAcentral describes it as "partial 16S ribosomal RNA". It matches the Rfam family "Bacterial small subunit ribosomal RNA", at positions 338 to 795 of the family's 1533-position model. The record is from RNAcentral.